UGGGGAAUAUUGCACAAUGGGCGAAAGCCUGCUGCAGCGACGCCGCGUGAGGGAUGACGGCCUUCGGGUUGUAAACCUCUUUCAGCAGGGACGAAGCGCAAGUGACGGUACCUGCAGAAGAAGCACCGGCUAACUACGUGCCAGCAGCCGCGGUAAUACGUAGGGGGCAAGCGUUGUCCGGAAUUACUGGGCGUAAAGAGUUCGUAGGCGGUUUGUCGCGUCGUUUGUGAAAACCAGCAGCUCAACUGCUGGCUUGCAGGCGAUACGGGCAGACUUGAGUCCUGCAGGGGAGACUGGAAUUCCUGGUGUAGCGGUGAAAUGCGCUGAUAUCAGGGGGAACACCGGUGGCGAAGGCGGGUCUCUGGGCAGUAACUUACGCUGAGGAACGAAAGCGUGGGUAGCGAACAGG
RNAcentral lists this ribosomal RNA (409 nucleotides) under bacterium. RNAcentral's name for it is "partial 16S ribosomal RNA". It matches the Rfam family "Bacterial small subunit ribosomal RNA", at positions 355 to 776 of the family's 1533-position model. The record is from RNAcentral.